Long non-coding RNA from Harpegnathos saltator (Jerdon's jumping ant), 856 nucleotides. RefSeq lists it as uncharacterized. The record is from RefSeq and is a predicted model, not a curated record. The transcript is spliced from 3 exons. NCBI's taxonomy places the organism in Eukaryota, Metazoa, Arthropoda, Insecta, Hymenoptera, Formicidae.
CUCGGAGGCUCGAGACAAAGAGGCGCGCCGUUACAGAUGGUGCAAGACACGCUUACAUUGUUUUUCAGCCACCAGGUAUAUAGCGGCACUAAUUCGAUUUUAUUGACGUGCAUGCUCGCGAGCACUCACGCGACACGCCUCUCGCCUCGUGCACGUGACUACCACGUGGUGCGAGCAUGCACUACAUCCGCGAGUGAGUAAAAAUGUGUGGCGCGUUGCUCGCGAAACCGCGAGCUUUACACGCGAGUGUAAAGGUCGAUUCACACUAUACGGCACGGACCGUCGCGUACCGGCACCGACCGACUUCUUCUCGCAAACAAUAUUUUGACGGUGCGUGUCGGUGCUGGUACGUCGGUCUGACUCACAAGUAACACUAGAGAAGUGCCAUACGGCGAUUUUCCUGAAACUUGGCAUACAAGUAGUACACGGAGAACAUUGGAUUGGACAUGUAUAUUGUUAUAUCGGCCCGAAAGUCGUUUGAAGGGUAGAAAUCACCCUUAUCGAUUUUGGAGGGAUUUUCGAGGACCCUGAAUACGAAUACUGAAUACGAAGAAGACCGUUUUCAAAAAUUCCAAAUGGCGGAUCCAGUAUGGCAGAUGAAUUUCUAAACAAUUGUUGAAUUUUCAUGCAACUUGGUAUCUAGAGGUUUUUGGAAUGGAUUCCGAAGUCAGUUUUUGAUAAUUCUCCAUGGCGGAUACAAUAUGACCGACUUGAUUUUUAACAAACCAAGAAUGCAGGAUAAAAAUUUUCUCACUCUUUGCCGAGCCCAGGAAUAACCAACGUGGAGGUGGGUAGGAUUCGAGCCUGGGUCGCUUGUACGAUACGAGGCACGUACGCAGGCACCUUAUGAGGCGAG